RNAcentral lists this transfer RNA (75 nucleotides) under Clostridiaceae bacterium. Its description in RNAcentral is "tRNA-Glu". It matches the Rfam family "tRNA". Rfam says of the family: Transfer RNA (tRNA) molecules are approximately 80 nucleotides in length. Their secondary structure includes four short double-helical elements and three loops (D, anti-codon, and T loops). Further hydrogen bonds mediate the characteristic L-shaped molecular structure. tRNAs have two regions of fundamental functional importance: the anti-codon, which is responsible for specific mRNA codon recognition, and the 3' end, to which the tRNAs corresponding amino acid is attached (by aminoacyl-tRNA synthetases). tRNAs cope with the degeneracy of the genetic code in two manners: having more than one tRNA (with a specific anti-codon) for a particular amino acid; and 'wobble' base-pairing, i.e. permitting non-standard base-pairing at the 3rd anti-codon position. Lineage: Bacteria; Bacillati; Bacillota; Clostridia; Eubacteriales; Clostridiaceae. RNAcentral also lists the same sequence under 1 other name. The record is from RNAcentral.
GGCCCCUUGGUCAAGCGGUUAAGACACCGCCCUCUCACGGCGGUAACAGGGGUUCGAGUCCCCUAGGGGUCACCA